This 511-nucleotide ribosomal RNA is filed under the name Trigonopterus velaris. Its description in RNAcentral is "partial large subunit ribosomal RNA". Lineage: Eukaryota; Metazoa; Arthropoda; Insecta; Coleoptera; Curculionidae. The record is from RNAcentral.
CUGACCUGCCCAAUGAGUAAUUUAAUGGCUGCGGUAUAUUGACCGUACAAAGGUAGCAUAGUCAUUAGHCUUUUAAUCGAAAGCUUGUAUGAAGGGUUUGAUGAGAAAAGAUCUGUCUCUGUUGAAAUHUAUUAGAAUCUUAUUUUUAAGCGAAAAAGCUUAAAUGUGCAUGGAAGACGAGAAGACCCUAUAGAGUUUUAUACUUAUAUAAAUAGUAUGAUUUAAGGUGUUUAAAAUCUAUUUUUUAGAAGAGUAUUUUGUUGGGGUGAUAGAAAAAUUAAUUAAACUUUUUUUAAAUUAAUACACUAAUUUGUGAAUUUAUGAUCCUAGGAUUAGAUUUGAAGAUUAAAUUACCUUAGGGAUAACAGCGUAAUUUUUCCUAGAGUUCUUAUCGAAAGGGAAGGUUGCGACCUCGAUGUUGGAUUAAAAUGAAUUGCUGGUGUAGUAGCUAGAAUAUUAGGUCUGUUCGACCUUUAAAAUUUUACAUGAUCUGAGUUUAAACCGGUGUGAG